AUGCGCCACGCGUGCACUGCUGUUCCUGCUCGCCGCCUACACCCACAUGGCGACCGCGCGCGACGUGUUAUUGGUC
This 76-nucleotide small RNA is filed under the name Xanthomonas citri. Its description in RNAcentral is "sX9 sRNA". It matches the Rfam family "Xanthomonas sRNA sX9". The record is from RNAcentral. Lineage: Bacteria; Pseudomonadati; Pseudomonadota; Gammaproteobacteria; Lysobacterales; Lysobacteraceae. RNAcentral also lists the same sequence under 1 other name.